AUCCUGGGCAAGAUAGGGGUUCCAGACCGGUGAUGCAAAUUCCAGGUGAGGUCGUACCAUAGCUAUAUAAAGCCGCAGAUAGAUAGCCGGAGAGCAGCUCACAAAGGACUUGGUGACUAAUUAUUAUGACUAAUAAUAGUGAUGGCAUCAUUCAUUUUAAGACAAAUUCUUGUUAAAGUGGAAUUGACAUCAUAAAACUCCAUGCGUAUCUUCUCUCAUCAUGGUUUUUCUCUUUGUGAGGCAAUAUUUUUUAUGGUCAGAUACAUUUCCUAUUGUCUACUCCAGUUGCCUCUUAAAACACAAGGGUAUAGUGUUCAAUAUCCCUGCAGGUUGUAACAGAACUCUAAAAAGUGUUGUAUUCUAAAACCACGAUAACAUUCAUGUCCGAAACUUAAUUCCAUUAAAGACAUUCCCCACUACCAUCUCUGCCUCCCUGACAAAAAAUGUAUGACUCGUGCCUCUCUAACAAAUUAUGGAAUCACACGCAGACUGGACAAAGACAUCAACAUCACGUACCCAGCUGUAAACAAGUACAAUCUGCUUGUUGACAGUGGGAGCACUUUACAGCUAACAAGUGUUUUUGUCAGUUUCUAGUAUUGAAUUCAAGUCAUCUUUAGAGAGUCUUUAGUAGACAGUUAAAAACCUUAUGUAGGGUGUCUUCAAAUGGUUAUGAAGUGUACAGAAUCUCUGAAACAGAACUUCAAAUACUUGUUUUUCAUUUGAAAUUUAUAUUUUGUAUAUUUUUAUUUGUUGAAUCAUAAAAAAAUGUUGAAACUGGGUACUGCUGCUGCCUUCGAGAAAACCACUCAAUGCUGAGCUUUUAUAUCAUCACAAGUUCUUUCUUUAAUUCUUUUUGAUAGUUUUAAAACUGGAAGUGUUUAAGACUGUCUUUAUACCAUGAUACAUUUAGAGGAAUGUUCAAUGCAAUAACCACUUUGUAAAUUAGUUUUAGACAAGCCAUGAGAAUUCUGUAGCUUCACUUCUUCAUAGUGUAUGCCACAUCGCUCUUGGACAUUGAUCCCCUCUCCCACCAACUUGUGAGCAAAUUUCCCUCUGGGCUGUACAAGAUGACAUUGUAUGUACCAGCUGUGAGACAGUGCAUAGUUCUUUGUUUUGCAUAAGCUCAUGGAUAUACGUCAUACUGGCCUGACUUACGGGGUUAUAGAAAAAAAGUACAGUGACAGGUUUGACAGAAACAGUGUCCUGCAAAAUUUUAGCCAUCUCUGAUUGUCUGGCUGACAAGUGGCAGAGGAUUGAUACAGCGACUUGUUUGAUAUAUGGUCAGCUUAAGAACUGUUAAAAGCCUUGCGCAGAAGUCAAGUAUUCAUGCCAUGUAGUGAGCAUUGU
Long non-coding RNA from Octopus sinensis (East Asian common octopus), 1347 nucleotides. RefSeq lists it as uncharacterized. The record is from RefSeq and is a predicted model, not a curated record. The transcript is spliced from 2 exons. NCBI's taxonomy places the organism in Eukaryota, Metazoa, Mollusca, Cephalopoda, Octopoda, Octopodidae.